This 420-nucleotide ribosomal RNA is filed under the name uncultured eukaryote. RNAcentral describes it as "bacterial SSU rRNA". It matches the Rfam family "Eukaryotic small subunit ribosomal RNA", at positions 351 to 774 of the family's 1831-position model. The record is from RNAcentral.
AACGACGGGUAACGGGGAAUCAGGGUUCGAUUCCGGAGAGGGAGCCCGAGAAACGGCUACCACUUCCAAGGAAGGCAGCAGGCGCGCAACUUACCCUAAUCUCGAUUCGAGGAGGUAGUGACAAGAAAUACCGAUGCGGGGACCCUACGGGUGCCGCGUUCGGAAUGAGUACGAUUCGAACCACCUAACGAGGAACGAUCGGAGGGCAAGUCUGGUGCCAGCAGCCGCGGUAAUUCCAGCUCCAAUAGCGUACGUUAAAGUUGCUGCAGUUAAAAAGCUCGUAGUUGAACGUUCGGGUUCCGCGGGACGGGGCCGCCCCGCGAGGGACGGCGCCGCCCCGGGGCUCGUGAUAUCUCAUCUCGCCGCCCGUCGCGAGGCGGACGGAGGGAUGGAUGAGGUUACCUGGAAAAAAUCGGGGGC